AUAGAUAUUUUGAGAUCUAAGAUUUUAUUUGUUUAUCAUAAUUAAUUUUAAGAGUAUUUGGCGGUAUUUGGUUAAAUUCUGAGGAACUUGUUAAUUUAAAUUGAUAUUACUCAUUAAAUUUUAUCUAUAAUUGUUUUUAUGUAUUGCUGUUUAAUUUAUUAUUUAUUAUUUAUAAUAAAUAAGAUUAAUUUUUUGUUAAAUAAUUCAAGUCAAAAUGUAGAUUUUUGUAGGGUUUAAUGAGUUACGUUUAUAUUGAAUUGUGAAGCUGUAAAUUUAAUUGAAAUAUUAUUGAGUUGAAGGUAGGAUUAGGAUGUAAAUAGAAAAUAAUUAGUUUUUUUGAUAUUUUGUACCAGUAUGU
RNAcentral lists this ribosomal RNA (358 nucleotides) under Draculoides affinis. RNAcentral's name for it is "partial 12S ribosomal RNA". Lineage: Eukaryota; Metazoa; Arthropoda; Arachnida; Schizomida; Hubbardiidae. The record is from RNAcentral.